AGUCGAGGGGUAACAGGGAGUGCUUGCACUUUGCUGACGACCGGCGCACGGGUGCGUAACGCGUAUAGAAUCUACCUUUUAGUGAGGGAUAGCCCAGAGAAAUUUGGAUUAAUACCUCAUAGUAUCAAUGAAUAGCAUUAUUUAUUGAUUAAAGAUUUAUUGCUAAAAGAUGACUAUGCGUUCUAUUAGCUGGUUGGUAUGGUAACGGCAUACCAAGGCUACGAUAGAUAGGGGUCCUGAGAGGGAGAUCCCCCACACUGGUACUGAGACACGGACCAGACUCCUACGGGAGGCAGCAGUGAGGAAUAUUGGACAAUGGAGGCAACUCUGAUCCAGCCAUGCCGCGUGUAGGAAGACUGCCCUAUGGGUUGUAAACUACUUUUAUAGAGGAAGAAACCGCUCUACGUGUAGAGCUCUGACGGUACUCUACGAAUAAGGAUCGGCUAACUCCGUGCCAGCAGCCGCGGUAAUACGGAGGAUCCAAGCGUUAUCCGGAAUCAUUGGGUUUAAAGGGUCCGUAGGCGGUUUAGUAAGUCAGUGGUGAAAGUUUUCGGCUCAACCGGAAAAUUGCCAUUGAUACUGCUAGACUUGAAUUAUUGUGAAGUGGUUAGAAUGUGUAGUGUAGCGGUGAAAAUGCAUAGAUAUUACACAGAAUACCGAUUGCGAAGGCAGAUCACUAACAAUAUAUUGACGCUAA
RNAcentral lists this ribosomal RNA (697 nucleotides) under Aquimarina sp. AU496_Ted3_MB20NH4. RNAcentral's name for it is "bacterial SSU rRNA". It matches the Rfam family "Bacterial small subunit ribosomal RNA", at positions 60 to 749 of the family's 1533-position model. Lineage: Bacteria; Pseudomonadati; Bacteroidota; Flavobacteriia; Flavobacteriales; Flavobacteriaceae. The record is from RNAcentral.